This 31-nucleotide non-coding RNA is filed under the name Homo sapiens (human). The record is from RNAcentral. Lineage: Eukaryota; Metazoa; Chordata; Mammalia; Primates; Hominidae.
UGGAAUUGCAAAGGGGCCUCAAAUAGCCAAC